This 541-nucleotide long non-coding RNA is filed under the name Felis catus (domestic cat). RNAcentral's name for it is "lncRNA (ENSFCAG00000052628.1)". Lineage: Eukaryota; Metazoa; Chordata; Mammalia; Carnivora; Felidae. The record is from RNAcentral.
AUGGUUCAUCAGAGGCUUGUCCUGUCCCAGCUGUUUUAUUCUUUCCCAAAGCCUUCAAGUCCCCUUCCUUCUAAGUGCCACUCAGGGAACGUUCUGCGUUUGGGAAAGCAAAGGAGUGUAUAUCCUCACUCCAAAGCCUUUCGAUAUUUCCAUUUAUUUAUAACAGAUUUAUUGCACAUCUACCAUUUGCCGGACACCGUGGGACUCUGGAGACUUACUAAUUUAAAAGGGAGUGGAACGCUCUGUCCCAAGGCUGCGCAUGGUCCAGUCAAAAAGACCUGUCGGAAGAAUGGAAGGCAUUUCCUGGCACCUGGGCUGACUUUCCAUCUCUCCCUUCCCUACUGAUAAUGGUAGCUGCCAUGAUGGGGCCAUACCUUGUGUAUAGAUUGCCUGUAAUUCUCAUAAACCUUGCAAAGUAUUACUGUCAUAGAAGUGAAGAGACUGCCAGGUUAAAUUCAGUGCUAAGCAUGUAAAUGUUUACAAGUGGUCAUUGAUUAUUGAAUCUAUACCAUUAAUAAAAUAUUGUGCUAGUAGCUUUACA